Molecule: long non-coding RNA, 560 nt
Organism: Anguilla rostrata (American eel)
Lineage: Eukaryota; Metazoa; Chordata; Actinopteri; Anguilliformes; Anguillidae
Exons: 3
Source: RefSeq, a predicted model, not a curated record
CCUUCUUCUCCUCCUUAAUGAUCCUCCCACAGGAGGCGCGCAGGUUGGAGAGAGCGCCGGCGAUGCUCAGGAGAAAACACUCUCAGCGUCUCCCCUCAGCAUACACACCGACGGCAAGUGGGACAGAAAUAGCAGCGGCAGUAAAGGAGAUGAUUGGCAGAGACAGAGGUGAUUGGCGGCGUUGAGAGCGCUACCUGCUCGCAGAUGUCGUUCAUGGCGGCCGCCAGCACGCGGUAGGCGCAGGUCUUCCCGCCAAAGGGCUCCCCCACCAGCAUGAACCCGUGGCGCACGAUCAUCAUCUCGAAGAUCUGCAGGAUUUUCUCAGCGAAGAAGUCGGUCAGCUGCAGGUUCAUCUUCACGCAGUUCACCUGGAUGGCGUCCAGAAGGAUCCGGUAGUCGGGCUUGGGCAGCGUCACUCCAGGGAACAGGUUGUCGGGCAGCUCGGAGCGGCCGGCGUAACCGGGGUUCAUGGUGAUGAACACGGCGCAGGUGGGGUCCAGCCUCAGCUCUGUCCCCUCAAACAGCAGCAUCUCGGAUUUGGCAGAAAUUCCUGAGGGGGA